AGUAAAAUAAGCUAAUAAAAGCUACUGGGCUCAUGCCCCAGAAAUGGAGACCUAAAAACCCCUUUUACUA
Molecule: transfer RNA, 70 nt
Filed under: Saccoglossus kowalevskii
Lineage: Eukaryota; Metazoa; Hemichordata; Enteropneusta; Harrimaniidae
Description: tRNA-Met
Source: RNAcentral